Molecule: ribosomal RNA, 497 nt
Filed under: uncultured bacterium
Lineage: Bacteria
Description: partial 16S ribosomal RNA
Rfam family: Bacterial small subunit ribosomal RNA
Source: RNAcentral
GAUGAACGCUGGCGGCGUGCCUAAUACAUGCAAGUCGAGCGAACGGACGAGAAGCUUGCUUCUCUGAUGUUAGCGGCGGACGGGUGAGUAACACGUGGAUAACCUACCUAUAAGACUGGGAUAACUUCGGGAAACCGGAGCUAAUACCGGAUAAUAUUUUGAACCGCAUGGUUCAAAAGUGAAAGACGGUCUUGCUGUCACUUAUAGAUGGAUCCGCGCUGCAUUAGCUAGUUGGUAAGGUAACGGCUUGCCAAGGCAACGAUGCAUAGCCGACCUGAGAGGGUGAUCGGCCACACUGGAACUGAGACACGGUCCAGACUCCUAUGGGAGGCAGCAGUAGGGAAUCUUCCGCAAUGGGCGAAAGCCUGACGGAGCAACGCCGCGUGAGUGAUGAAGGUCUUCGGAUCGUAAAACUCUGUUAUUAGGGAAGAACAUAUGUGUAAGUAACUGUGCACAUCUUGACGGUACCUAAUCAGAAAGCCACGGCUAACUACGUG